This 253-nucleotide ribosomal RNA is filed under the name uncultured bacterium. Its description in RNAcentral is "partial 16S ribosomal RNA". It matches the Rfam family "Bacterial small subunit ribosomal RNA", at positions 524 to 776 of the family's 1533-position model. The record is from RNAcentral.
UACGGGGGGGGCAAGCGUUGUUCGGAAUUACUGGGCGUAAAGGGCUCGUAGGUGGCCAACUAAGUCGGACGUGAAAUCCCUCAGCUUAACUGGGGAACUGCGUCCGAUACUGGAUGGCUUGAGUUUGGGAGAGGGAUGCGGAAUUCCAGGUGUAGCGGUGAAAUGCGUAGAUAUCUGGAGGAACACCGGUGGCGAAGGCGGCAUCCUGGACCAACACUGACACUGAGGAGCGAAAGCUAGGGGAGCAAACGGG